Molecule: ribosomal RNA, 183 nt
Filed under: uncultured bacterium
Lineage: Bacteria
Description: partial 16S ribosomal RNA
Rfam family: Bacterial small subunit ribosomal RNA
Source: RNAcentral
GCACGAAGCUGGAAUCGCUAGUAAUCGCGGAUCAGAAUGCCGCGGUGAAUACGUUCCCGGGUCUUGUACACACCGCCCGUCACACCAUGGGAGCCGGGAAUGCCCGAAGUCAGCGGCCCAACCGCAAGGAGGGAGCUGCCGAAGGCAGGUCUGGUGACUGGGGUGAAGUCGUAACAAGGUAAC